This 510-nucleotide ribosomal RNA is filed under the name uncultured bacterium. RNAcentral's name for it is "partial 16S ribosomal RNA". It matches the Rfam family "Bacterial small subunit ribosomal RNA", at positions 28 to 507 of the family's 1533-position model. The record is from RNAcentral.
GACGAACGCUGGCGGCGUGCUUAACACAUGCAAGUCGAACGAAGAGCGAUGGAAGCUUGCUUCUAUCAAUCUUAGUGGCGAACGGGUGAGUAACGCGUAAUCAACCUGCCCUUCAGAGGGGGACAACAGUUGGAAACGACUGCUAAUACCGCAUACGAUCUAAUCUCGGCAUCGAGGAUAGAUGAAAGGUGGCCUCUACAUGUAAGCUAUCACUGAAGGAGGGGAUUGCGUCUGAUUAGCUAGUUGGAGGGGUAACGGCCCACCAAGGCGAUGAUCAGAAGCCGGUCUGAGAGGAUGAACGGCCACAUUGGGACUGAGACACGGCCCAGACUCCUACGGGAGGCAGCAGUGGGGAAUCUUCCGCAAUGGACGAAAGUCUGACGGAGCAACGCCGCGUGAGUGAUGACGGCCUUCGGGUUGUAAAGCUCUGUUAAUCGGGACGAAAGGCCUUCUUGCGAAUAGUGAGAAGGAUUGACGGUACCGGAAGAGAAAGCCACGGCUAACUACGUG